This 174-nucleotide ribosomal RNA is filed under the name Virgibacillus sp. RNAcentral's name for it is "partial 16S ribosomal RNA". It matches the Rfam family "Bacterial small subunit ribosomal RNA", at positions 576 to 749 of the family's 1533-position model. The record is from RNAcentral. Lineage: Bacteria; Bacillati; Bacillota; Bacilli; Caryophanales; Bacillaceae.
CGGUCCUUUAAGUCUGAUGUGAAAGCCCACGGCUUAACCGUGGAGGGCCAUUGGAAACUGGAGGACUUGAGUACAGAAGAGGAGAGUGGAAUUCCACGUGUAGCGGUGAAAUGCGUAGAGAUGUGGAGGAACACCAGUGGCGAAGGCGACUCUCUGGUCUGUAACUGACGCUGA